RNAcentral lists this ribosomal RNA (487 nucleotides) under uncultured bacterium. RNAcentral describes it as "bacterial SSU rRNA". It matches the Rfam family "Bacterial small subunit ribosomal RNA", at positions 41 to 507 of the family's 1533-position model. The record is from RNAcentral.
GGCGUGCCUAACACAUGCAAGUCGAACGGAACUGCUUCGAAGGAUUUCUUCGGAAUGACAUUGAUUCAGUUUAGUGGCGGACGGGUGAGUAACGCGUGAGUAACCUGCCUUCAAGAGGGGGAUAACAUUCUGAAAAGAAUGCUAAUACCGCAUGACAUAUGAUUGUCGCAUGGCAGACAUAUCAAAGAUUUAUCGCUUGAAGAUGGACUCGCGUCCGAUUAGUUAGUUGGUGAGGUGACGGCCCACCGUGGCGACGAUCGGUAGGGGUUCUGAGAGGAAGGUCCCCCACAUUGGAACUGAGACACGGUCCAAACUCCUACGGGAGGCAGCAGUGAGGAAUAUUGGUCAAUGGACGCAAGUCUGAACCAGCCAAGUAGCGUGCAGGAUGACGGCCCUAUGGGUUGUAAACUGCUUUUAUAAGGGAAUAAAGUGAGCCUCGUGAGGCUUUUUGCAUGUACCUUAUGAAUAAGGACCGGCUAAUUCCGUG